AGCGAACGCUGGCGGCGUGCUUAACACAUGCAAGUCGAGCGAGAAAGGGGGCUUCGGCCCCUGAGUACAGCGGCGAACGGGUGCGUAAUACAUGAGCAAUCUACCCUUGAGGCGGGAAUAACCCAGCGAAAGUUGGGCUAAUACCGGAUAAGACCACAAGAGGAGACCCUAGAGGCUAAAGGCAGCUCUCUUUUGGGGGCGGCCCUUUGAGGAGGAGCUCAUGUCCUANCAGCUAGUUGGUAGGGUAACGGCCUACCAAGGCGAAGACGGGUAGCUGGUCUUAGAGGAUGAUCAGCCACACGGGGACUGAGACACGGCCCCGACUCCUACGGGAGGCAGCAGUGGGGAAUAUUGGGCAAUGGGGGAAACCCUGACCCAGCGACGCCGCGUGGGUGA
RNAcentral lists this ribosomal RNA (396 nucleotides) under uncultured bacterium. RNAcentral's name for it is "bacterial SSU rRNA". It matches the Rfam family "Bacterial small subunit ribosomal RNA", at positions 29 to 408 of the family's 1533-position model. The record is from RNAcentral.